GUCAUGGUUAAGUGGGAAACGAUGUGGGAAGGCACAGACAGCCAGGAUGUUGGCUUAGAAGCAGCCAUCAUUUAAAGAAAGCGUAAUAGCUCACUGGUCGAGUCGGCCUGCGCGGAAGAUGUAACGGGGCUAAACCAUGCACCGAAGCUGCGGCAGCGACACUAUGUGUUGUUGGGUAGGGGAGCGUUCUGUAAGCCUGCGAAGGUGGCCUGUGAGGGCUGCUGGAGGUAUCAGAAGUGCGAAUGCUGACAUAAGUAACGAUAAAGCGGGUGAAAAGCCCGCUCGCCGGAAGACCAAGGGUUCCUGUCCAACGUUAAUCGGGGCAGGGUGAGUCGACCCCUAAGGCGAGGCCGAAAGGCGUAGUCGAUGGGAAACAGGUUAAUAUUCCUGUACUUGGUGUUACUGCGAAGGGGGGACGGAGAAGGCUAUGUUAGCCGGGCGACGGUUGUCCCGGUUUAAGCAUGUAGGCGGAGGUUCCAGGUAAAUCCGGUACCUUUUAACGCUGAGAUGUGAUGACGAGGCACUACGGUGCUGAAGUAACAAAUGCCCUGCUUCCAGGAAAAGCCUCUAAGCAUCAGGUAACAUCAAAUCGUACCCCAAACCGACACAGGUGGUCAGGUAGAGAAUACCAAGGCGCUUGAGAGAACUCGGGUGAAGGAACUAGGCAAAAUGGUGCCGUAACUUCGGGAGAAGGCACGCUGGUGUGUAGGUGAAGUCCCUGCGGAUGGAGCUGAGACCAGUCGAAGAUACCAGCUGGCUGCAACUGUUUAUUAAAAACACAGCACUGUGCAAACACGAAAGUGGACGUAUACGGUGUGACGCCUGCCCGGUGCCGGAAGGUUAAUUGAUGGGGUUAUCCGUAAGGAGAAGCUCUUGAUCGAAGCCCCGGUAAACGGCGGCCGUAACUAUAACGGUCCUAAGGUAGCGAAAUUCCUUGUCGGGUAAGUUCCGACCUGCACGAAUGGCGUAAUGAUGGCCAGGCUGUCUCCACCCGAGACUCAGUGAAAUUGAACUCGCUGUGAAGAUGCAGUGUACCCGCGGCAAGACGGAAAGACCCCGUGAACCUUUACUAUAGCUUGACACUGAACAUUGAGCCUUGAUGUGUAGGAUAGGUGGGAGGCUUUGAAGCGUGGACGCCAGUCUGCGUGGAGCCAACCUUGAAAUACCACCCUUUAAUGUUUGAUGUUCUAACGUAGGCCCCUGACCGGGGUUGCGGACAGUGUCUGGUGGGUAGUUUGACUGGGGCGGUCUCCUCCCAAAGAGUAACGGAGGAGCACGAAGGUUAGCUAAUCCUGGUCGGACAUCAGGAGGUUAGUGCAAUGGCAUAAGCUAGCUUGACUGCGAGCGUGACGGCGCGAGCAGGUGCGAAAGCAGGUCAUAGUGAUCCGGUGGUUCUGAAUGGAAGGGCCAUCGCUCAACGGAUAAAAGGUACUCCGGGGAUAACAGGCUGAUACCGCCCAAGAGUUCAUAUCGACGGCGGUGUUUGGCACCUCGAUGUCGGCUCAUCACAUCCUGGGGCUGAAGUAGGUCCCAAGGGUAUGGCUGUUCGCCAUUUAAAGUGGUACGCGAGCUGGGUUUAGAACGUCGUGAGACAGUUCGGUCCCUAUCUGCCGUGGGCGCUGGAGAAUUGAGGGGGGCUGCUCCUAGUACGAGAGGACCGGAGUGGACGCAUCACUGGUGUUCGGGUUGUCAUGCCAAUGGCACUGCCCGGUAGCUAAAUGCGGAAGAGAUAAGUGCUGAAAGCAUCUAAGCACGAAACUUGCCCCGAGAUGAGUUCUCCCUGAGACUUUAAGUCUCCUGAAGGAACGUUGAAGACGACGACGUUGAUAGGCCGGGUGUGUAAGCGCAGCGAUGCGUUGAGCUAACCGGUACUAAUGAACCGUGAGGCUUAACCUU
Molecule: ribosomal RNA, 1896 nt
Filed under: Klebsiella pneumoniae
Lineage: Bacteria; Pseudomonadati; Pseudomonadota; Gammaproteobacteria; Enterobacterales; Enterobacteriaceae
Also listed under: 1 other name
Description: bacterial LSU rRNA
Rfam family: Bacterial large subunit ribosomal RNA
Source: RNAcentral